AUCAACUUUCGAUGGUAGGAUAGAGGCCUACCAUGGUGGUAACGGGUAACGGGGUGUUAGGGCACGACACCGGAGAGGGAGCCUGAGAAACGGCUACCACAUCCAAGGAUGGCAGCAGGCGCGCAAAUUACCCAAUCCCGACACGGGGAGGUAGUGACAAUAAAUAACAAUACGGGGUCCUUACGGGUUUCGUAAUUGGAAUGAGUACAAUUUAAAUCUCUUAACGAGGAACAAUUGGAGGGCAAGUCUGGUGCCAGCAGCCGCGGUAAUUCCAGCUCCAAUAGCGUAUAUUAAAGUUGUUGCAGUUAAAAAGCUCGUAGUUGAAUUUCGGGGUUAGUAGAUUGGUCGUGCCACUGGUAUGCACUGGUCUUACUGAUUCCUCCUUCCUGAUGAACCGUAAUGCCAUUAAUUUGGUGUUGCGGGGAGACUGGACUGUUACUUUGAAAAAAUUAGAGUGUUUAAAGCAGGCUAACGCUUGAAUACAUUAGCAUGGAAUAAUGAAAUAGGACGUUCGAUCCUAUUUUGUUGGUUUCUAGGAUUGACGUAAUGAUUAAUAGGGAUAGUUGGGGGCAUUAGUAUUCAAUUGUCAGAGGUGAAAUUCUUGGAUUUAUUGAAGACUAACUACUGCGAAAGCAUUUGCCAAGGAUGUUUUCAUUAAUCAAGAACGAAAGUUAGGGGAUCGAAGACGAUCAGAUACCGUCGUAGUCUUAACCAUAAACUAUGCCGACUAGGGAUCGGAUGAUGUUAUUUUUAAUGACUCAUUCGGCGCCUUACGGGAAACCAAAGUGUUUGGGUUC
Molecule: ribosomal RNA, 797 nt
Filed under: uncultured Glomeromycotina
Lineage: Eukaryota; Fungi; Glomeromycota
Description: SSU rRNA
Rfam family: Eukaryotic small subunit ribosomal RNA
Source: RNAcentral